RNAcentral lists this long non-coding RNA (1008 nucleotides) under Monodelphis domestica (gray short-tailed opossum). RNAcentral's name for it is "lncRNA (ENSMODG00000050595.1)". Lineage: Eukaryota; Metazoa; Chordata; Mammalia; Didelphimorphia; Didelphidae. The record is from RNAcentral.
AGGAAAAUUCAGGUGACAUUUCAACCAUAAGAACAGGUUCAGAAGGAUUGCUUUCCUUGUCAAAAGUUCCCACAAGGAGUGAUGUCCCAUUUGUACUAAUUUCUUGAAAACUGAUAUUAUUAGGUCUAGUGCAAGACAUGUGGUAAUUCACACCAUCUGUUUGUUCUGGAGUUAGCAAAUUUUCCUCAGAUUUGCUGAUAUGCUUUGACCCUUUGUUCAUCUUUCAUCAACAUCUGGGCUGAAAAGGAGUCCAGUUUUUACAGACUGAAUCCUAUUUUUAAAAUCUUGUUGACUUGCAAGUCAUAGUCCAACAUGUUCAUAUCUUGUCACUCCAGAACAUCUGUUUACAUCUCUGCUAUUUUUCUUCAGACUAAACUUAAGAUGAAGGGAUCUUCGGAGCUUUUCUUUACAACUUAUCUUAGGGGAGAAACAACCUGCUUUCCAUGAUUCCACCCUGAAUACGUUUUUGCUUGCAAUCCUUUUACUUCACCUCUGAACACUUGUAUUGGACAGAUUUCCACUGACAGCUAUGGAGGAGAUUGAAUUCCGAGAAGAUGUGCCAGGACUUUCUACAAAUUGAACUGAUGCAGGUGUUGAAACACCAUGGAAGAGACUACUUGAACCCAUUUUCAUGUCCUCCUAGAGGGUGUGUGUCCAUCCAAGCAUCCAACCUCCUCUGCAUCUUUUGACAUUGUGUGGAACAUUGGUGAAUAAGGUCUGCCUUUCUUUUGUUCUCACUAUAUGAUUAGGUUUUUAUUUUAUAUAAUUUAAUUUAUAUAGGUCUUUAAGUUUUGCAAAAUGUUUUAUAUACAUUGUUCUAUUAAUCCCUUACAAGAAACCUAUAAGACAUAUAUUUGGUGGAUUAUUAUCUCCUCCAUACAGGUGUGAAAACAGUCUCAGACAGUUUAAGUUACUUAUUCAUGAUUACCCAGCAAGUGUUAGAGGCAAGGUCCUGACUCCAAGUUCAUUAUUCUACCAAAUCAAACUGCCUAGAUGGUUUAAUGAAAG